Molecule: ribosomal RNA, 207 nt
Filed under: uncultured bacterium
Lineage: Bacteria
Description: partial 16S ribosomal RNA
Rfam family: Bacterial small subunit ribosomal RNA
Source: RNAcentral
UGCGUAGGCGGGUAAGUAAGUCCGUGGUGAAAUCUCUGAGCUUAACUCAGAAACUGCCGUGGAUACUAUUUGCCUUGAAUAUUGUGGAGGUGAGCGGAAUAUGUCAUGUAGCGGUGAAAUGCUUAGAUAUGACAUAGAACACCAAUUGCGAAGGCAGCUCACUACACAAUCAUUGACGCUGAGGCACGAAAGCGUGGGGAUCAAACA